Diprion similis is the source of this 470-nucleotide long non-coding RNA. RefSeq lists it as uncharacterized. Lineage: Eukaryota; Metazoa; Arthropoda; Insecta; Hymenoptera; Diprionidae. The record is from RefSeq and is a predicted model, not a curated record. The transcript has 2 exons.
AAUAUAUUUAUAUGUAUAUACAUAUACCAGCGCUGUACGGGUACCAGAAUUCUUCGGAUCGGUCGGUCCGGAAAAAUUCUAUUAGUUAAUCGGGUCGGGUUCCCGUGAUUUUCGGGAUUCCCUAAAAUUCCCGGAUCCCCCAAUGAAAGAUGAUAUACUUUUAACUGAAAAUAUUAAUGUCAUUUAGAUGCACUAUUUACUGUUAAUAUUUAGUAUUUGUCCAAUAUUAUGAAUAUUAGGUAAGUUAAGUUACUCAUGUUUCUGCUUUCCCUACUAUUCUGGGAUUGCUAAAAAAACCCGAUCAAAUAGAAACCCGUCCCAAACCCGAACUUUUUUCCCGAGAUUUCGGGAACCCACGCAUCCCUAAUAUAUAUUAUAUACAUGAUUGGUACUUGUUAUGUUGUGUUAUUCAAGACAGCCUUUAUGCCGGGAGUUAAUAAAUGAUAAAUAUAAAAUAAUGUUUGUACGUA